UACGGAGAGUGCAAGCGUUACUCGGAAUCACUGGGCGUAAAGAGCGUGUAGGCGGAUAUAUAAGUCAGAAGUGAAAUCCAAUAGCUUAACUAUUGAACUGCUUUUGAAACUGUAUAUCUAGAAUGUGGGAGAGGUAGAUGGAAUUUCUGGUGUAGGGGUAAAAUCCGUAGAGAUCAGAAGGAAUACCGAUUGCGAAGGCGAUCUACUGGAACAUUAUUGACGCUGAGACGCGAAAGCGUGGGGAGCAAAC
This 250-nucleotide ribosomal RNA is filed under the name uncultured bacterium. RNAcentral describes it as "partial 16S ribosomal RNA". It matches the Rfam family "Bacterial small subunit ribosomal RNA", at positions 524 to 773 of the family's 1533-position model. The record is from RNAcentral.